Molecule: ribosomal RNA, 1200 nt
Filed under: Triticum aestivum (bread wheat)
Lineage: Eukaryota; Viridiplantae; Streptophyta; Magnoliopsida; Poales; Poaceae
Description: partial small subunit ribosomal RNA
Source: RNAcentral
AUGAACAAUGCUCUACUUGCCCCUUAUGCCGCAGAGAUGUCCGCAGCUUUAUUCGAUAUUGGGGACUUAAAAGCUCUAGGGCCAGAUGGACUCCAUGCUAUUUUCUACAAAAGGUUCUGACCCAUGUUGGGGGAGGACCUAAUUGAGGAGGUUCUAAAAGCAAUAAACACAUGCACUAUCCCGAACGAUUGGAACGAUACGGCGAUCGUGAUGAUUCGUAAGAUUAAUACACCAGAAAAGGUAACCCAAUUUAGGCCGAUCAGCUUAUGUAAUGUGGUAUACAAAAUAAUUGCAAAAAUAGUGGCUUCUCGAUUGAAGUUUUUUCCAAAAAUUAUUAGUCCAACACAAAGUGCAUUUGUACUGGGUAGAUUGAUAAUGGAUAAUAUUUUAGUGGCCUAUGAAUGUUUUCACACAAUCAAGAACAAGAUAGAAGGUAAAGAGGGCUUGUGUGCUAUAAAACUUGACAUGCACAAAGCAUACGACAGAGUUGAGUGGCCUUUUUUGAAAGAGAUUAUAUUGAGAUUGGGUUUCCAUUGAGAAUGGGUGAAUUUGAUUAUGCAAUGUGUCUCAACUGUCGAAUACAGAGUAAGGAUCAAUGUAGAGGAAAGUGAGAGUUUCAUGCCUACUAGAGUGUUGAGGCAGGGUGAACCGCUAUCACCAUACCUAUUUCUGUUGUGCAUAGAGGGGUUGAAUGCCUUGCUUACGCAUGUUGAGGAGAAUGAAAACAUAUCAAGAGUUAAAGUCUGUACAGACGCCCCGCCAGUCACAAAUCUUCUCUUUGCGGAUGAUUCAUUGAUCUUGAUAAAAGCCAACCAACAUAGUGCGGCGGCCCUAAAAUCAACACUAGAUUUAUAUUGUGCAGCGUCGGGACAAUUGGUAAGCGUGGAAAAGUCUUGUAUUUUCUUUAGUCCUAAUACAACGAUAGAGAUCAGAGAAUAACUAUGUACAACGCUUAAUAUAACGACCGAGGCACUGAAUGGAAAAUACUUGGGCUUGCCAGCAAAUGUGGGUGUAGAUAAAACAGACUGCUUUAAAUUUCUGAUUGAACAAGUUGUUAAGAAAAUUAGUGGUUGGAAGGAAAAAUUACUGUCUUCCGGGGGGAGGGAUCUGCUCAAGGUUGUGAUCCAAGCCAUGCCUACACAUGCAAUGUCAGUCUUUCAAAUUCCUAAAAGAAUUUGUAAAGAAUCAUUGACGCGAUAA